Molecule: non-coding RNA, 259 nt
Organism: Agelaius phoeniceus (red-winged blackbird)
Lineage: Eukaryota; Metazoa; Chordata; Aves; Passeriformes; Icteridae
Source: RefSeq, a predicted model, not a curated record
AAGUGUGAUGCCCAGCCUGUGCUGUGGGGAUGCCAGGGCUGCUGAGGGCUCCAGCCCCGCUGCCGGCUCUGAUUUCAGCCCCCCUUGCUGCCGUUCCAGCUCCUCAGCCUUUCCCGGGAUGGACAUGACCGGAGGUCAAUGAUUGUCAGCGCUGGCGGAGGACACGGAAGCUGGCACAGGAGGGCAGAUGCCGUGUUGGUGUGGGGCUGGUGCCCACUGCAGACAGUGGCAUGGAUCCACGCAGGCCUCUGGUGCCAGG